Caretta caretta (loggerhead turtle) is the source of this 1305-nucleotide long non-coding RNA. RefSeq lists it as uncharacterized. NCBI's taxonomy places the organism in Eukaryota, Metazoa, Chordata, Testudines, Cheloniidae. The record is from RefSeq and is a predicted model, not a curated record.
CUGAAUGGACUUGUAGGCUCUAAAGUUUUAUGUUGUUUUUGAGUGCAGUUAUGUAACAAAGGACAGGGUGGGCCCGUUAGUCAAUGAGAAGGGAAAGAUAAUAACAGAAAAUGUGGAAAUGGCAGAGGUGUUUAAUGACUUCUUUGUUUUUGUUUUCUCUAAGAACGUUGGUGGUGAGUGGACAUCUAACCUAGUGAAUGCCAGUGAAAAUGAGGAGGCUUUACUUCAGGAACUAAUUCAAGUGCAUUUUGCCAGUGCUGAGGUACUUCAACAAAAUCUCUGUAAACCCUGAUCUGUAGAACUGAUCCUAUGGGAAUAUUGUGCAAAAGUUGCCAAAGCUCUCGCAGUGUCCAUCCUAAAACGUUAGCGUGUCCAAUUUUAAUCAAAAUAUCACCUGCCAGGGGAAAAAUUCAAGAGUGUUCAGUAUAAAAAUCCCAACUCUAGACAGUAACUCCUCACUUAAAGUCGUCCUAGUUAACCUUGUUUCAUGGUUACGUUGCCAAGCAAUUAAAAAACAUGCUCGUUUAAAGUUGCGCAAUGCUCCCUUAUAACAUUGUUUGGCAGCCACCUGCUUUGUCCACUGCUUGCAGAAAGAGCAGCCCGUUGGAGCUAGCUGGUGGAGGCUUGGAACCAGGGUGGACCAGCAGCCCCUUCAUCAGCUCCCUACUCCCCUAAGUUCCCUGUAAGGCAGCUGCCCAGCAGGCUAUCAAUUGUCGGCCAGUUCAGGUGUCCCUCCCCCCACUGCUGUGUGCUGCUCCUGCUUGCUCCUGCCCCUGCCCUCUGCCUUGGAUCUGCUCCCUGGAGCCUCCUGCUUGCUGUGCAGACGGAGGUUGGGGGGGGGGGGAAAGGGGUGCUAAUGUCAGCAUGUCCCCUUAACCCCUGCUCCUGCCCCCUGCUCCUUUACCCCAUCUCCACAGAGCAGGGGGGGCACAUGGCAGGGCUCAGGCCGGAGGGAGCUUUCUGGCAGCAGCUGCUGUCUCAACUAACUGAUCUAAUUAAAAAGGCAAUGUACUUAGGGUCAGCGUACUUAAAGGGGCAAUGUGCAUCUCUCUCUGUCACAUAUACAUGGUGUGUGUCUCUGUCUCUCUCUGCCAUGCUGUUUCCCCUCCCUCCAUUCAUGCUGCCUUGUAGAGUGUGAGGCUAUGUUAACAACAAUGUGUUAACCCUUGAGGGAUCAGCCAAGUGCUAAUUCAUCAUUUAGCAGUAAGGCAUUCCCUGGGAAAUAUCCCACCCUCUGAUUUCACCACCUCAACCAAGCUUCACAGUCAUCAUUGCUGUGUACAGUAUUAAAUUGUUUAAAACUUA